GGCCAUGGCGGCGGGCAGAUCCACCCCCUCCCCUACUCCGUUCCCUCGACGCCCGGCGGUCAUCCCCCAUUAGGCCACCCGCAGCAGCUCACCCGCCCCUCCUCCUCCUUCCCGACGCCGACGCGCUCGUUCCCCGCCUUCCCCCUCCUGAACCGCCUCCUCCCCCCCGCCGAUCCUUCGAUUCCCCGUGGCCCUAGGCCAGCGCUGACGGUUUCCUGGCUCCCGCGGGCGAUUCCAGCAUGGUGGUCGUCGGCUCCGCGGACUCGAAGAUGAAGACGGAGGUGGAGGAGAGCGAGCUGGCCGAAGGUGAGGCGGUUCCAACCCUAGCCGCCGCAGUGGGUCACCAGCGCCGCGUCUCCCUCACCUCUGUCGGCCGACAGCACCGAGGGUUGCUUUCCUCCUGCCUUCAUGCGCGCCAGCAAUCGGGACCUGCAGUCUCCACCACCGGUGUCGGAAUUAUGUCAGGACAGGAAAUCAAGGGCUUGCGGAAGAGAUAGGAGGUCCAUGGAGAAGAUGCUCUGCUCCACCUCCAACCCACCCUGCCUGCUACUACAGGAACAGGAUGCCAUGGAAGGUACAGUGGUGCUGCUGGUUCCUUGAGGCGGGGUCGAGUUGAGGUAGGGGAUAGGAAGGUUGAGCCGCUCGGGUGCUGAUCAUGUACAUCGGCGCUCCUUCUGGGGUUGACCCGACCAAACCAAUGAUGCAAGGCUUCUCCUGCUGCUGCAUGUCUUCAUCAACUUAGUUCUUCCACAGGGAGAGAUCUAAAUCCUUCACUUGUUCACUGUGUAAUCUGCAGAUUACUUCUUCCAUUAAUCACCUAGUGCUCCUGUUAGUGAGAUUCAUCUAGUAUUUUUUUCCAAAGCAUGAAAUGGUUUGGAGUAGUUGAUCAUGGCCUGAUGGAAACUUCAUGUCGUUAGCAUGUAUAUAUGUACUACUACAGCAGCCAGAAGCAAUCCAUUUUAUUAAAUGCAUUCAUCUCAUUACACUAGCUACCCCAACUUGUUUGGGACUAAAGGCUUUGUUGUUGUUGUUGUAUUCAUCUCAUUACACUAGCUAGCACAAUAUAUUAGUUAAGGCAACUCUACUACAUAUCAAUUUCCCCUACUGGAUUGGUUCUAUAUUUUUAAAGUUGUUUCGUGGUGCAUGAGCCCAACCUGAAGAAAUAUAGGCUUAUGAUGACUAUUUUCCUUCUUAAGUAAUCAUAGUUGUUGGCUUCGGUAGCUUGCUGAAUAUGUUUUAGUUAUAUAUAGAAAUGAUGUGCCUUCUAUGCUUAAAUGAUUGUUUGGCUCUAUAUAAUUGUUGACAUGAAUAUCUUGACUUCCCAAACAAGUAUAGGACUGUACCUAUGCAUACAGAUUAUCCUAACAAAACUGAAAAUAAAAAUUGAAGCAUGAAAUAAGCAAUAAGUGGCUGAUUUUUAUUUGCAUGUUAAGCGGAAAGUUGUAGAUAAGGCUUGUAUAUAUAGCAUAGUGCUUGCCAGUUGGUUCUUUCACCUUUGUGGUGAUCCACUCAAUGAUCAGUCAGUACGAACAGCUAGGAUGGAAUAAAAUGUUUGUUACAUCAGAUGGCACCGAACAUGGUUAUGCAUGGUUUAUAUAUAGUAAUACACGUGUCAGUCCAAUCAAGGCAUUUCUUAGUCUUACUAAUUGUCUUAGUCUGAAAUUAUGAUGUGUUGUAAUUCACCUGCUCUUGACUUUAUAUCCGUCUUACUCUGCAAAUUUUGUAGGAUCAAGUGGCUGGGCCCAGAUUUGUCUGGACCGUUGGAUUGAUGCAAGGGCGGGUUUAUAUGUAGUACACGUUUUGUACACUUUUAUGCCCAUAGGAGACCCCAGCCGGAGUAGUUCCUGCUGUCCUUUUGUCUUGUUCUCUUGCAAUUAUUUGUACUUCUUAAAAGUCUGAAGAAAUUGUCGGGUAAUUCACCUGCUGUUUUUCUCUUAAAAAACAGUGUUGGUUGUUGGA
Molecule: long non-coding RNA, 1959 nt
Organism: Triticum dicoccoides
Lineage: Eukaryota; Viridiplantae; Streptophyta; Magnoliopsida; Poales; Poaceae
Exons: 3
Source: RefSeq, a predicted model, not a curated record